This is a long non-coding RNA of Pan troglodytes (chimpanzee), 372 nucleotides long. RefSeq lists it as uncharacterized. The transcript is spliced from 3 exons. The record is from RefSeq and is a predicted model, not a curated record. NCBI's taxonomy places the organism in Eukaryota, Metazoa, Chordata, Mammalia, Primates, Hominidae.
AACCUGUGGAAUGCUGAGAAAGCCUGGUGAAAUUGUACUCAGCCUUCACACCUCAGGUUAGAUGUCAUUUCCUAUGAGAAGCCCGCCUCGUUCAGGACGUCCAUGAUCUCUCACAGCCUUCUGUGUUCCCUCCUCAACACGGUGUUUUAUAGCUUUUUAAAAAAUUCUGUGAUCAUAUUAUGCUCAGCAAACAGAGAGAGACUAUUCUUGUUUCCUGUGCCUAGGAUGUGCCUGAUGUAUGGAUCUGUCUCCAGCGGGACCAGAAAACCAUAUGUGGCAAUACUUAUAAACUGCCUCUAGCUAUAUAGAUUAAUACAGAAUCAUCUUUCUUUAUGAGUUUUCCACCAAUAAACAUGUGUAGAUAUAAGCAAA